GAUGAACGCUGGCGGCGUGCCUGAUACAUGCAAGUCGAGCGAACAGACGAGGAGCUUGCUCCUCUGACGUUAGCGGCGGACGGGUGAGUAACACGUGGAUAACCUACCUAUAAGACUGGGAUAACUUCGGGAAACCGGAGCUAAUACCGGAUAAUAUAUUGAACCGCAUGGUUCAGUAGUGAAAGACGGUUUUGCUGUCACUUAUAGAUGGAUCCGCGCCGCAUUAGCUAGUUGGUAAGGUAACGGCUUACCAAGGCAACGAUGCGUAGCCGACCUGAGAGGGUGAUCGGCCACACUGGAACUGAGACACGGUCCAGACUCCUACGGGAGGCAGCAGUAGGGAAUCUUCCGCAAUGGGCGAAAGCCUGACGGAGCAACGCCGCGUGAGUGAUGAAGGUCUUCGGAUCGUAAAACUCUGUUAUUAGGGAAGAACAAAUGUGUAAGUAACUAUGCACGUCUUGACGGUACCUAAUCAGAAAGCCACGGCUAACUACGUG
Molecule: ribosomal RNA, 497 nt
Filed under: uncultured bacterium
Lineage: Bacteria
Description: partial 16S ribosomal RNA
Rfam family: Bacterial small subunit ribosomal RNA
Source: RNAcentral